GUCUUUUUGAUAAUAAUUUAAAGUCAGGCCUGCCCAAUGACAAGUUUAAUGGCCGUGGUAUUUUGACCAUGCAAAGGUAGCAUAAUCAUUAGUUUUUUAAUUGAAAGCUGGAAUGAAGGGUUUAAUAAAAAAAUAGCUGUCUCAARRUUAWAUAUAGAAUUUUAUUUUUAAGUUAAAAAGCUUAAAUAAAAUUAAAAGACGAGAAGACCCUAUAGAGUUUAAUAUUAYCAAAAUUGUUUAUUUAAGAUUAAAAUUUAAAAUUGUMAGUAAUAUUUAAUUGGGGUGAUUAAAAAAUUUGAAAAACUUUUUUUUUAUAAAUACAUUAAUUUGUGAAUAAUUGAUCCAUWAARAUGAUUAAAAGAUUAAAUUACCUUAGGGAUAACAGCGUAAUUUUUUUUGAUAGUUCUUAUUGAAAAAAAAGAUUGCGACCUCGAUGUUGGAUUAAAAUUAAAAAUUGGUGAAGAAGCUAGUUGUUUAAGUCKGUUCGACUUUUAAAAUUUUACA
RNAcentral lists this ribosomal RNA (504 nucleotides) under Trochoideus goudoti. Its description in RNAcentral is "partial 16S ribosomal RNA". The record is from RNAcentral. Lineage: Eukaryota; Metazoa; Arthropoda; Insecta; Coleoptera; Endomychidae.